UACAACCCCUAGCUCCCAGCAUCCUGCCCCCAGCAUUCCAGCAGCGCUGAGCUCUUGGUCGGAAGCAGGCAGAGAGGCCCAGGCUCAGAGCAGACCCUGCACAUCUCCAGCGGCUGUGCCCACUCCUGCCCAGCAUGGCUGUUGCUGGCCUUCUCAUCGGAGCAAUCCUGGCACUGGGACCCUCUGUGGCUCUGAUCCUGAUUGCAUUGGGUUUGUAUUCUCGUCUUGCCAAAGAAGGGUCAGAAAACUCCAAUCCUCUGAAUUUCAAGAUGUGUUUUGGCAUUCAAGUUGGAGCAAACUGACCUCCCUGGAUCCCCACUGGAACCCUCACUGAUGUCUGCCAUGACCCCCAAAACCAGAUCCUGUCUGGGAUCUGCUACAUCUGUCCUGUGACACCUGGUCCCCUUCCCCUCUCCCCCUUUGCUGUAUCUGACCCCUCAAAUAAAGAUGCCCCAACGCUGCCUUCCA
This is a long non-coding RNA of Pogoniulus pusillus (Red-fronted tinkerbird), 468 nucleotides long. RefSeq lists it as uncharacterized. The transcript has 5 exons. The record is from RefSeq and is a predicted model, not a curated record. Lineage: Eukaryota; Metazoa; Chordata; Aves; Piciformes; Lybiidae.